AACGGGGGGGAACGAGCGUUACUCAUCUUGACUGGGCUUAAAGGGCACGCAGACGGCUUUUCAUGUUUCCUAGUUGAAAGAUACCGGCGCAGCCGAUAACGAGUAGGUUACACAGCUUAGCUAGAGUAUAGUUAAGGAGCGGAGUACGUAUGGACGAAGGGGUGAUAUCCGUUGGGAGCCCAUAUAGACUGUCGACAGGCGAUGGCGUCUCUCUAGAUUAUACUGACGUUCAUGUGCGAAAGUGCGAGGAGUGAUAGGG
This 259-nucleotide ribosomal RNA is filed under the name uncultured bacterium. Its description in RNAcentral is "partial 16S ribosomal RNA". It matches the Rfam family "Bacterial small subunit ribosomal RNA", at positions 523 to 776 of the family's 1533-position model. The record is from RNAcentral.